Molecule: ribosomal RNA, 580 nt
Filed under: uncultured Glomus
Lineage: Eukaryota; Fungi; Glomeromycota; Glomeromycetes; Glomerales; Glomeraceae
Description: partial large subunit ribosomal RNA
Rfam family: Eukaryotic large subunit ribosomal RNA
Source: RNAcentral
CAUGGAGGGUGAGAAUCCCGUUCGGUUAAUCAUUGCGUUUUACGAUACGCUUUCUAAGAGUCAAGUUGUUUGGGAUUGCAGCUUAAAAUGGGAGGUAAAUUUCUCCUAAGGCUAAAUAACGGCGAGAGACCGAUAGUGAACAAGUACCGUGAGGGAAAGAUGAAAAGAACUUUGAAAAGAGAGUUAAACAGUACGUGAAAUUGUUGAAAGGGAAACGAUUGAAGCCAGUCGUACCUUCGGGUAAUCAGCCUUUUGGGUGUGAUUUUGUGGAGUGUGAAGAGUUAAACGCCUUCAUGCCUGCAUAUUCGUGCACUUUGGGUGUACUUGCUCGUGUGGUAAGUUAACAUCAAUUUUGGUUAUCAUAAAAUGAUUGGAGGAAUGUAGCUUCGAUCUCGUAUUGAAGUGUUAUAGCCUUCGGUAGAUGUGAUGAUCGGGAUUGAGGAUUGCAACGGAUACCCUUCGGGGCUACCUGUCUGGUCUCUGAUUGUUGCUCUGGUGCUGAAAGCUUGCUUAUAGCUAUCAAAGUCGACGGUCAAUAGGUUAGAAUGGGUUAAAUUCGUUAAGGAUGUUGACGUAAUGG